Molecule: long non-coding RNA, 1054 nt
Filed under: Bos indicus x Bos taurus (hybrid cattle)
Lineage: Eukaryota; Metazoa; Chordata; Mammalia; Artiodactyla; Bovidae
Description: lncRNA (ENSBIXG00005010870.1)
Source: RNAcentral
AUGACAAAGAUGGGACGCUUUUGCACUGGAUAUUGCAAAUUGUAUGUGUUUAUUUUCCUAUAUUUCCCUGUUCUUCUCUGUGUAGGGCUGUGUAGAAGUGAACACAGGAUGUUCACAUCUGUGAAGGCAACAGAAACGUCAUUCCAAAUUGCAAUGGAGACAGAGAGCAUCCGGUCGGGCGGAUUCUUUACCAAGCUGAGUCACCAGGGAAGCCGGAAGAAGGACCAGCUGGUCUGUUUAUCAGUGACAGAAGACAGGAGGAGGAGAGAACCGUUUCUGAGUGAGGCAAUCAAAUCUGUCUUGGUCGCUUCAUGGCCGGAAGGCCCUCGGAUAGCAAGGCUGGAGUGUGGGAAAUGCUGUCUCCUCACAGGAUGGAUGCCGUCAGAUGUGAAUGGACAGAAGCAUGAAGGGAAGAAGUGAAGUGACGUCGCUCAGUCGUGUCUGACUCUUUGUGACCCCACAUACACUGUAGCCUACCAGGCUCCCCCAUCCAUGGAAUUCUCCAGGCAAGAAUACUGGAGUGGGUUGCCAUUUUCUUCUCCAGGGGGAUCUUCCCAAUCCAGGGAUAGAACCCAGGUCUCCCGCAUUGCAGGCAGAUGCUUUAUUGUCUGAGCCACCAGGGAAGCCCCGAUAAGCAUUAAGGGAAGAAACAUAUAAAAGAGAAUAGCACACAGUCUCUCACGAUUUCCUACCGUAGUUAAGCACGGUGUGGACUCUCAGACCCAGAAGAGUCUGAUCUUUGUGGAAGGCUGUUCCUCACCACGACGCCCUUGGUUUAGGGUCACCCAAGAACGUGACACUCGAGUUUGAUGAGUCAGGAGAAGCUUGUUCUCAACCCUGAGAAGAUUUUCCGAGAGGAAAAAGUGGUGCUUGAGUGUGUGUGUGUGUACGUGUGCAUGUGUGUGUGUAAAAAGAGACAAUUUGUCCUUCUGAUUUUCUAUUUUCUUAGCAAACACUAGAUAUGAACAAGAACAGAUAUGACAGAGAGGGUGAAAUCCAGAUAAUAAUCUGAAUUUAAAUGGACGGUGUCGCAGGAAUGGUUUAAUAAGCCUAG